RNAcentral lists this ribosomal RNA (405 nucleotides) under uncultured bacterium. RNAcentral describes it as "bacterial SSU rRNA". It matches the Rfam family "Bacterial small subunit ribosomal RNA", at positions 355 to 776 of the family's 1533-position model. The record is from RNAcentral.
UGAGGAAUAUUGCACAAUGGACGCAAGUCUGAUGCAGCAACGCCGCGUGGAGGAUGAAGGCCCUUGGGUUGUAAACUCCUUUUUUCAGGGAAGAGAAUGGACGGUACCUGAAGAAUAAGUCACGGCUAACUACGUGCCAGCAGCCGCGGUAAUACGUAGGUGGCAAGCGUUAUCCGGAAUUACUGGGCGUAAAGCGCACGCAGGCGGUUCUUUAAGUUUGACGUGAAAGCUCCCGGCUUAACUGGGAGAGGUCGUUGAAGACUGGAGGACUUGAGUUUAGGAGAGGGGUGCAGAAUUCCCGGUGUAGUGGUGGAAUGCGUAGAUAUCGGGAGGAAUACCAGUGGCGAAAGCGGCACCCUAGCCUUAGACUGACGCUCAUGUGCGAAAGCGUGGGGAGCAAACGGG